This 75-nucleotide antisense RNA is filed under the name Pseudofrankia inefficax. RNAcentral's name for it is "Frankia sp. EuI1c ASpks TB sRNA". It matches the Rfam family "ASpks TB sRNA". The record is from Rfam by way of RNAcentral. Lineage: Bacteria; Bacillati; Actinomycetota; Actinomycetes; Frankiales; Frankiaceae.
CUUGAUCGAGCCGAGGAACAGGGGCUGCCCGUCGGGUCGGUGUUGGCCGUAGGUGGCGAGGAGUGCCUGGGCUUC